GGGGUAAGCAAGCCUCUUCAUCAGGUGUAAAUGGAUCUGAGACCUCCCAUCCAUUUACACUUGAUGGAAAGAUUCGUGUAUUCCAGCAGCUAGCAG
RNAcentral lists this microRNA precursor (96 nucleotides) under Chlorocebus sabaeus (green monkey). Its description in RNAcentral is "miRNA (ENSCSAG00000020557.1)". The record is from RNAcentral. Lineage: Eukaryota; Metazoa; Chordata; Mammalia; Primates; Cercopithecidae.